This is a long non-coding RNA of Polypterus senegalus (gray bichir), 432 nucleotides long. RefSeq lists it as uncharacterized. The transcript has 3 exons. Lineage: Eukaryota; Metazoa; Chordata; Cladistia; Polypteriformes; Polypteridae. The record is from RefSeq and is a predicted model, not a curated record.
UACAGAAAGAAUAUACAAAACUUGGUUCUGAAUCUGGGUGCAAGAAAAUGUGAACUCUAAGAGGUGACUGCUGUGCCAGACAGUUCAGGGCUGCAAGGCAUCAAAGCCUACAGUGGGAACAAGGUAGGAAACACCCCUGUUGCACCAGUCAAGCGCAAAGAGUUAAUUUGGAGGUGCCAGUAAACCUAAACUGCAUGUCAUUAAGCAGACACAAGGAGGAUGUUGGAACUCCAUAUAGACAAGUUUGCACAGGCUUCAAAUCCAGAAGACAUGAAGUAACAGUGCUAAUCACUGCACCACCAUGCCACCUUUGAACUGAAUGGAACUGACCAUUCAUAGAAAAUUUCUCCUGGCCCUGAUAACGUCAUUUCCAGUUCCGGAGCUUUUGAGGAUGUCGCUUCUGGUUCCGGCCCUUUUGAUGACAUCACGUUC